AACCUUUUAAGUUAGAGAGCUUGGUCCAUGAGUCAGCCACGCCAUAUUUUUUCAUCACCCACAAAUCAAUGGAGCCAGCAGUAACAGCAUUUGCAUAAUCAAAUGCACAGAGACAGUCUCCGAAAGCUCCGAGCUGACCGUCUAGAAUAGGCAGCGGCAUUCUUUGGAACUCCUCCUUUGCUAGAUCAAAAGCAACGAUGCCAAGCAUUUCCUGCCAAUGAAGUGCCUCAUUUGAAAGAAUCCCCUUAUAUAUAAAGCAGCGGUCGAAGGGAGGAGGGGCUUCAGUCCUUUUCCAAGUGUUGGCUUUUGAUGAGAAGAUGUGCAUCUCCUUGCUCUUCACCUCAUCAACAAGACUGCCUCUGAAGCUGGCAAUAACUUUGUAGUCGUCAGUGGCCGACAAAUAGCCAAAACCAAAGCAGUGUAAUUUUGAGAACCGAUCAGCUGGGUCAGGAAGUUUUUUGAAGAAUUGAGUUGAUGGGUUCCAGAUAAACAUUUUGUUUUCUUGAUCAUAAAGUGCUGCCAAUAUCAAGCCAUUGCAGGAGCACAGUAUCGUCACUGGAUGUUGCGUCAAUGGGCACCUAACCUUUCUCAGCACCAAAGAAGUUUCUCCCAACGGCGACGGCGGCGGCGUGUCCAAGUCUAGUGAGUUGAACUCGUCUACCGAAUUGAACGAUUCAGAUAUAGAUACGGUGCAGAUGAGGAGCCUGUGACAGAGGGUUUGGUGGUGAGAAGCUAUUUGGAAUUGGGACAUGGCGAAUUCUGGGUCGGAUAAUAUGAUGAAACGCCAGCGUUUCGAAACGCAGGUGAAGCGGAUUAGGGAUUUGAUCGGCAACCUCUGCAUGAUUCGAACUAUCACGUCCUCGGGUAGGUAAUCCGCCAUUUGCAAAUUGGGUGCAAAUAAAUGAUGGUUUAGCUUCCGCGCGUUUCAGUUUUCUGUUUUCCUUUCUUCAUAUAGCAACAGUUGGCACAGUGAGAGAUGUGCAGAUCAUCUCAUUGUGACUUGAGACAAAUGACGAGCCAAUUGGAGGAGAACACGUUCACGAAUAUAACGUCUGCGACUUUGCGUUGUUACAACUGUCCAGCCGUCUGGCACUCUGGGACGUUAUCUAUUUUUAUAAAAAAAAAAAAGGAAACGGGGGGCGGCACUUUCGUCUUGGGAGACGACUCCGAUGUUGAGGACGGCUGUGAAGAUGAUGGCAGCGGCGGCAUGGUGGCUACGGUGCCCAGCCAUCUGGGAGUCCAUAGCCACCUCAUAUGGUUUUGGGCUUCCAAACUUGUUGGGGUUGGGAGGCUUGGGUUGGGUGCAAGGAAAUUAUGGUUUAGCUUCUGUAGUUUCGCCCUGUGCUUUUCCUUCUCCUUUUCCAAACCACACUUGGAUAGUUUUCUGUUUUUUUUUUAACCUCAUAUAGCACGAGUUGGGUCUUAUUUGUCGUGCUACUGUGCUAAAUCCAAUUAUAUAUAAAUUCACUCUCCAUUUUACAAUC
Long non-coding RNA from Rosa rugosa (rugosa rose), 1484 nucleotides. RefSeq lists it as uncharacterized. The transcript has 2 exons. NCBI's taxonomy places the organism in Eukaryota, Viridiplantae, Streptophyta, Magnoliopsida, Rosales, Rosaceae. The record is from RefSeq and is a predicted model, not a curated record.